Molecule: unclassified non-coding RNA, 148 nt
Filed under: uncultured Ascomycota
Lineage: Eukaryota; Fungi; Ascomycota
Description: sequence contains ITS2
Source: RNAcentral
CAACCCUCAAGCCCGGCUUGGUGUUGGGGCGCCGCGGCGCGCCGCGGGCCCUGAAAGACAGCGGCGGGCCCGCCACGGUUCCGAGCGCAGUAGGUUCCUCUCGCUCCGGGAUCGCGGCCGGCUCGGCCUCGAGACGCACAUGACAAAA